GACGAACGCUGGCGGCGUGCUUAACACAUGCAAGUCGAACGGAAAGGCCCUGCUUUUGUGGGGUGCUCGAGUGGCGAACGGGUGAGUAACACGUGAGUAACCUGCCCUUGACUUUGGGAUAACUUCAGGAAACUGGGGCUAAUACCGGAUAGGAGCUCCUGCUGCAUGGUGGGGGUUGGAAAGUUUCGGCGGUUGGGGAUGGACUCGCGGCUUAUCAGCUUGUUGGUGGGGUAGUGGCUUACCAAGGCUGUGACGGGUAGCCGGCCUGAGAGGGUGACCGGCCACAUUGGGACUGAGAUACGGCCCAGACUCCUACGGGAGGCAGUAGUGGGGAAUAUUGCACAAUGGGCGCAAGCCUGAUGCAGCAACGCCGCGUGCGGGAUGACGGCCUUCGGGUUGUAAACCGCUUUCGCCUGUGACGAAGCGUUAGUGACGGUAAUGGGUAAAGAAGCACCGGCUAACUACGUG
This 468-nucleotide ribosomal RNA is filed under the name uncultured bacterium. Its description in RNAcentral is "partial 16S ribosomal RNA". It matches the Rfam family "Bacterial small subunit ribosomal RNA", at positions 28 to 507 of the family's 1533-position model. The record is from RNAcentral.